Molecule: ribosomal RNA, 490 nt
Filed under: uncultured bacterium
Lineage: Bacteria
Description: bacterial SSU rRNA
Rfam family: Bacterial small subunit ribosomal RNA
Source: RNAcentral
AACGAACGCUGGCGGCGCGCCUAAUACAUGCAAGUCGAGCGAGAAGACGUAGCAAUACGUUUGUAAAGCGGCGAACGGGUGAGGAAUACAUGGGUAACCUACCCUCGAGCGGGGAAUAACUAGCCGAAAGGUUAGCUAAUACCGCGUACGCUCCUUGGACUUCGGUUCAGGGAGGAAAGCGAUACCGUGGGUAUCGCGCUCUUGGAUGGGCUCAUGUCCUAUCAGCUUGUUGGGAGGUAACGGCUCACCAAGGCUUCGGCGGGUAGCUGGUCUGAGAGGACGAUCAGCCACACUGGCACUGCGACACGGGCCAGACUCCUACGGGAGGCAGCAGUAAGGAAUAUUGCGCAAUGGGCGAAAGCCUGACGCAGCGACGCCGCGGUGGGGGAUGAAGGUCUUCGGAUUGUAAACCCCUUUCGGGAGGGAAGAUGGAACGAGCAAUCGUUCGGACGGUACCUCAGAAGCAGCCACGGCUAACUUCGUGCCAGCA